AACUCAAAUCCCCGGUGAAUUUAUUUGAUCCAACAUCGAGCACUCGGAGACGAACGAGAGCUGACAAUUCAGAUGGAAUUUUUCCUGAAAACCUGUUGUUUCUGAGGUUCAGAAUUUCCAGUUUGGUACAGUCAAGAAUCUGGGAAGGUAGUUGGUCAACAAGCUUGUUGUUGGACAGGGAGAGUUCUUUGAGUUCGGAAAGCCGUCCGAUUGCCCGGGAGAGCAACCCCUUGAGCUGUUGCGACUUGAAGACGAGUCUUGCGAUUCUCAGGACAUAUGUAUUGUUGCUUGUGAGCCUUCUUUCGCAGAUUAUUCCAGGUAGGUUGCAUGGUUUGGUGGAGGCUAGAUGAAGCUGAAUGUCGAUGCCCAUGUCCUUUUGGAUGGUCUUGAGGGCAUCGAGAUCCGAACGGUCAAGAACCAAUCUUGCAUGGGCUAGGACGAGGAGAGAGAGUAUUGACAGGAGGAAAAGCCGGGUUUUGCCGCCAGCAGCAGGCGCCAUAUGGUUGCGGAUUCCGGCGACGGGCUUGUUUUAGAUUAAGAGAGAGGCUAUAUUUGGCCGUGAGGAAUUCCAGAUAUUUUUUUGGCUAUUUGUUCAUAUUUCUUUUGGCUAUUUGUUCUCUGGAGCUUCCAUGUUGGAUGAUGAGUGCGUGGUUGGCUUUUUAAGCAGAACCUCUGUGGAAAAUAUUGCACGUAAUGGACCAUUUGCAUUGAAUUGCUUUUGAUAAGUUUACAGAUUUUGUUUGUAUUUGUGUCUGGACUUUUAAGGCAAAACCAGCAAAGAGUUGGCGUCAACGUCAACGGGGCUUGACGCCGACAGGCAGGUCGAGUCAACAAAAGCUGUGCAAGUCUUGGGCCGAUCUUGGGUCGAUCUUGGGCCGUUGGAUUGGAAAUUGAUAUGCGUGUGACGACCAGUUUGAGACUGACCUGAGAUUCCUCCCCAUUGGUUCUCCUUUGGACUUGGUUUAUGGUUUCCCACGAAAAACAGUUUAUCCCGGGCAAAUUUUUCCUCCGUUAAUUCUCAUUAAAUUAAAUUAUUCUUACAAAAAACUCUAAACUGAUAUUAUUCAUGAUAAACUGAGAUAAAGCCCUAAAUUGAUACAUCCGUAUAACAAAAAUUAAUAAAUGAUAAAAAAUUUCAUGUUAUUAAUCCUUUUUUUCUCUUUUUAUUAGUAUUUUCAUUUCUGUGUUUUUUUUUUUGUUAGAUAUGAGCAAUAGCUAGGAAAAAUGUAAGAAAAGUCCUUAAUUUCUUGUGUAAAUAUCAAUUCAGUUUUAAAUAUUUUAAUGGUAUCAAAUUAGUCUUAAAUCUUGUAACUUGAUGCCAAUUCAAUUAUAUACAUUUUAAUAGUACAAAUUUAGUCCUACACCUUUUGAAUUUAUUAUCGAACUUUUUUAUUUGAUGGCAAUUUAGUCAUUCAAGCUAAUUUUGGACGAAUCUUAUUGACGUGAACGUUGGUCAACUUACAUGGCAUUGUUGGUGCUAAUGUAGAUAAAUUUUAAUAAUAUUUUAAUAAUUUUUCGAUUUUUUUUUCAAUUUUUUUUUCUUUCUUCCUUUUUUCUUCCUCUAGACAAUGGCCAAUUGGUGGGUGAUGAUCAAGCCUUAGUGAGGUUGGCCCUCACCUAGGCGACGGUGAGGUCAACCCUUGCCAAAUUCGACGAGAUUGGCCCUUGCCCAAGCUAGGGUAGCGUCAACUUCGCUCAGGCAAUGCUUAGCAAGGCCAAAUCGAGUGAGGCUAACCCUUGUUGAGGCUCAACCUUGCUUUGGCUCGGCAAUGCGAGCUUGCCUAGCCAUUGCCUAUUGGCCUGUCACCGUCUAAAGGAAGAAGAAAGGAAGGAGAGAGAAAAAAUAAAGAAAAAAGAAAAAAAUCAUAAUUUUUUUUAAUAUUAUUAAAAUAUUAUUAAAAAUUGUUCUCGUCAGCAUCGAUAGUACCAAAUAAGUCGACCGGUGUCAACAUCAGCAAAAUCUAGCAAAAAAUAACUGAAAUGAUUGAAUUGGCAUAAAGUUAAAAUGUUUAAGACUAAAUCAACACUAAUUCAAAAUAUUUAUGACUAAAUUGAUACCAUUUAACAUGUUUAUGGCUGAAUUGACACUAAAUAAAAAUGUUUAUGAUUAAAUUGGCACCAUUACAAAGGUUUAGAAUUAAGAUAGCAUAAAUGUAAUGUGUUUAAGACUCUUUUUUUUUUUGAAACUUUUCCUAGCAAUAAUCUAUUGGACAGCUUGCCAAAGAAAGAAAUUCUAUCAGAAAAUUUUAAAAAAUGACGACGGAGUGUCAUUUUCUUGAUUUUAGUAGUUAACGCGGAAGGACACUUGUCCUUUUCACUUCCAUCUUCCAAGGGAAUACUGUCUAACAAUUUGGGUUUUGGUGGACGACAAUGACUUGAACGAGUGAUUGAUUAUAAAGGGAUCAAGUAUUAAUAGGUGAAAGCUUAUGUAUGCAACGUUAUGAUUGUUACCUUAAAGAUAGGAAUAAAGUCGUAAUCGACUCGAGCUGAUCCGUUUGUGGAAAUAUCGGCAACCGUAAAACAAUAAUUGAGGGGACCACACCUGUAAGUUUUGAUGACCGGAAAGAUAGAAUUUCAAUUGCAUUUUAGGUCGUUUGUGUUGGAUGUAUGCCCUAAAGCUACUAUGUAAUGGUUACAUAUUAAGGAUUUCGGUUGUACUUUUAUUAUUAUUAUUUAAUUAAUGGCAAUGACGUAUUCAUUCAUUUGUCCAAUUAUUUUAUAUUAAUGAAUGAUUCCAUAAGAUCAGUUGCAACUAGACCUAUUCUUGAGACGUCAAGAAUAUAUGUGACGGGUUCAUAGUUAGACUGAAUCUUUAAAUCGUUCCCGGUCGAUGGAUUAUUGAGUAGAUAUUAAUAAUCCUGUUGAGACCGAUGUGUUCUUAACUUCGCCAUUAAAUAUUGGAUACUUAAGGGAAUGAUGAGUCACAUGUCAUUGGGUAUUAUGAUGCCUGAGUUAGAAUACAGGUGUUUGUAUUAGACAAAUUCACUGAACGUGACGCAUAUGGAACGAUUAGCGACAUGAAAGCUUUUAGCGUGGUCAAUGUCUAAUUGUUCAUGCUUUGGUCUUGUGUAAAUAAUCCUUAGACCUGAGGCACAGUGUUAACUUGUGUAUUGAAUAACUAUGGUUCACGGGUGCACAUAAUGCCGGGUUGUUGAUCCGUCUUUAUACCUGAUGGUCAUAGUUUGUUCAUAUAUGAAGUUACACGUGUGCGCAAUAUGGAAUCUGUCUCCUUGUUAUAUGCAAGGUAUGAUAAUGAUGUUCUAUGCGAUCUAAUUGUGACACUGCAUUGAAAUCCUCGGCCGGGGUUGUAACCGAGAAUAAAUUGUUUAUGUCUCGAAUAAAAUGCAUGUCAAUUAGAUUUGUGCAUAUGAUCGAAUUAAUGACUUGACUAAUAUUACAUGGUCUUUGUUUGAUUGGGACAUAGUAAGACAGAGAGAUUGAAUUACACUGUAACAAAAGCUAACAUGUUCAUUAUGUUAUUAAAAUAUUCACACUAUCUGGGUAACCAUGACAUAUUGCUAAAUGUCAAUCAUAGCUUGUAAGACCCAAAGAUUAAUCGGGACAAUUAAUUCUUGUGGGAGUACUAAUGUGUUAGUACAAGUCUUACUACCAGCUUAGUGAUGAAUCUAGGGAUGUCACACACCAUAAACAACUAGGAUGACGUGGAACAAGAGAGAAAUAUUAUUGCAAAUGUGUUUGCAAUUAUUGCAAUCGAAUUGAGUCGACGAGCCUACUUGCAUAUGAUGCACACGCAUGCCCGAAGUGAAUAUAUGUUAACGUACCCCAAUUGUACAUAUAAGAUUAUGUUAUUUUAAUUUUAAAAGGAAUUGAUUAAUUAAUCCUUUAUUCGUUUAAUUAAUUAAUUAAAUUAAUUAAUGUACACAUGGUUGCAACGCACAUGAUAUGUGCAUUGCCUUUUAUUAGUAAUAAAAAAAAAUUAAAGCUUAAAGCUUCGUGCAUGUGCACGAUUCUUUAAAUCGUGCACAUGCACGAAAUCAUGCACAUGGUCAGCAUGCACGAAGAUCGUGAUCAGCAACGGUUGCUGAUCCCACGAUCAGCAACCGUUGCUGAUUUGUGAAGGCUUUAAGAAAUAAAAUGCCGCAAAAAGGUCGCGGGGAAUUUUUGUGAUGCUUUGCUGAAAAAAGAGAGCAAAGUGUGUGCGUGUUCUCGUGUCUUUGAGACGCAAGAAAGAAGAGCGUUAUCUCGUUCGGGCCGUGACUAUUAUACAUCAAGAAUACAACGGAUUGUUUCCACGUGAUUGCUAGCACGAUCGAAGUGGUGAAUAUCCGAAAGUUCUCUCUUCUGUUCGACGUUCAUUGUUGGUGUGUCUAAACUAGAGGUCCGACGCUUGUGAGACUCGAACUGUAGAACAUCCGAACUGAUUCGUUUCAAAGCGCGCUUCGAGAGGUAAUUCUUUUGACUCCCUUCUAUGUUUAGAUUUUUUAUUAAACGCACGAACAACACCUUAGGAGAAUCGUGUAUAAAAUAUAUCUUUGUUUUCGUCGCGUACUUUAUGUUAAUUUUUCUUAUACAUGAUUCAUGAAACCCCAACAGUUUGUACAAGCUGAGAAUAGUUCCUAGUUCGACCAAAAAAAGAAAAAAGAAAUAGUUCCCAGUUGAUACCUGUGAAAAACAAACAGAGAAGUAAUUUGGGAUAAUUGCCCCCAAAUAAUCUUAAAAUUAAUCAUAUUGAUACAUUGAUAUCCCAAAUUAUGUUCAUACAAUAUAUUUGAAUCAUGUAUGAGAUUACUCAUUACGUAUAUGGAUGAGUUAGAUAUCAUACAAAUAACAGGUUAGAUAUCAUACAAAUUCAACUUAUGUAUUUUAGGAUCUUAAUAUUUUGCAGUUAACAUUUAGCUCUGAAACAUUUUUUUUCCUGAUCAAUGGACGUCUUUUUAUCUUUGUCAAUCAAGAAGUUAUUCAAGAGAAGUGUUGACCACCAAGUGGUAAAAGCAGUCGGAGAGUACUCCGUUUUCUCGUGGAGUCACAAUUAGAAUCAAGUCAUGGGCAAAUUUCUAAUUAGAUUAUGCAUAUUCGAUACACGAGUUUGAUUCACCUCAACCUGUCAAACGUUUACGCACAUCAAUGAGCUUAUAACAUGGUUUUACGCUUUUUUAAUAGUGAUCCUUCUGAAACAAGCAGGUUAGGCUCUGUGAGUUUUUUGUUCAUCUUGUGUGUUCCAGUGAGCUUUCACCAAUAAGCCCGCUUACACUUCCAUCCGUCUUUCGACAUAUUAGCUUUUUGUUCUUUUUCAAAAUGAAUGAGUAACAAGCUUAAGCAGAAAGAAGAAAUGAGCAUCAAAAGGCCCGUGGAUCACAUGGCACAAUUGUGGGAUAUAUGGGUAAGCAUAAGGAGCAAGGUCCGAAUCUGAGCCGAAGACCAAGCCCAAACCCAAGCCCAAUUUCUAAAUUGAGAAAUCCUUCAAAAUUCGUGGCAAGAGUAAGCAAUCGGAUAUGGAGGUCAGUUUUUCUCUCCACCAAGCCGAAAAGUCUUUUCCUCUCUUCUCUUUAUCUUCUUCAACCUUCAACCAUGAGAAGGGCUCUCAUCCUCCCCUCCAUCUGUUUUGAUUUUCUUUGAGUUCUUUUUUUUUUAAAUUACUUUUUCUCUUUUUUCUCUAUCCUAAUCUAAAUUUGAGAGUUGUGUUCUUCUGAUCUAAUUCUAAAUUUGAGAGUUUGAACUCUUCAAAUCUAAUUCUAAACCUAGGAGUUCUUCUUCCCCAAUUUAAAUAUGAGAGUUUAAUAAUAUUUUCAGAGAUUCAAUACUCCCGUGCUUUCUCCGUGUAUAGAUCUUCUACCUCUAGUUUGUCUUACUAAAUUAUAAAGAUUUGCUGUUCCAAAUGUUAGAUAUGUAUUUGUCUUUGUACAACAAUGGUGUAAAGAAAGCCGAACCUAGUUGCGCACCACCAACUAGUAACGUUGUUGUUAUUAGAGAAGAUAUUUCCAAUGUGUGCUCAUCAUUGACAAAAAUACGAGAUCUAGUAAUUGAUCACCAUUUUUUUUAUUUGACAAAUCCAUUGUGUGUAUGCUUAACUUUGCCGGUGCUUUGUUGAUUCUCCUUAUCUUUCGGAUUUGGCUUUGUUUUGUAGGUUUCGUUUGUUUUGCGGUUCAUUGGGGAAAAUGUUUAGUCUUCUAAAUUAGGGGAAAACAUUUUCUUCACUUGAUCUCUCUUAUCUCACACCUCUACAAAUUCUCACUUCCUCCUCCUCUGUCUUCUUCUUUUUUUUUUUCUUUUUAUAUUCAAAUUAUUUUUUAAUUUUAUUUUUCUUUUUUAAUUCAAAUUAUUUUUAAUUUCAAUUUUCUUUUCUAUUUAUUUUCUUUGGGUCCAUUCGUUUUGCGGAAAAUGGACCAUUUCCGGAAAAUAUUUUCCUAGAAGUCAUUUUCCAAGAAAAUGACAAUAUUUUCUGGUGUCCGGCUAAAACUUGGAAAUGUUUUGGAAAAUAUUUUUCAGUGUUUGGUAAGGAAAAUAUUUUCCGCUCUCCAGAUUGGCGAGCGUGAGCGUCAAGCUCAAGGCUCGCCAGAUCGAUGAGCACGAGUUUGAGAUCAACGAGCUUGAGGUUCACCUGGUCUGACGACUAGCCAAGAAAGAAGAAGAUGAGAAACAAAAAAAAAAAGAGAAAAAAAGAAAAAAGAAAAAGAAAAGAAAAAGAAAAUUAAAAAUAAUUCGAAUUAAAAAAGAAAAAGAAAAUUAAAAAAUAAUUCUAAUAAAAAAGAAAAGAAGAAGAAGAAAUGGGAGGAGGAAGUAAGGAUUUGUAGAGGUGUAAGGUAAGAGAAAUCAAGUGAGGAAAAUGUUUUCCACUUUCCACUUUUCAAAAGUGGAAAACAUUUUCCCUUACUUUAGAAGACUUUUUUCCUUUGAUGGAAAAUAUUUUUCCGAAGGAAUUCAUUUUCCAUAAAACGAACGCCGGAAAAUUUGGAAAGCGUUUUCCCGGAAAUUAUUUUCCGUGAAACGAACGGAACCAUUGUUUCCCAUCUUCUUCUUUCUUGGCUAGUCGUAAGCCGUUGCUAGGAGAACCUCGAGCUCGUCGAUCUUAAGCUUGCGCUCUGUACUCUUACUUAUCAUUUUCUUUAUUUACUCUACCUAUAGUUGUACAUUACUCAAACAAAGGGCUCUACAUGUUUCGCUUCUUUUUUCUUUUGUUUAUUAAAACACAAAAGACACGGGAGGAGAACAUGUCACUCAACUGGAAGAUUCUUAUUAGGGCUGUACAUGCUUUGCUUCUUUUUAAAAUCCAUAUGAACAUUUUUUUAAAGUAAAUGAGUGUUUGUCAACAAUGAGGGUACAAAGAUAUGAAGCAAGUUUGCAAGAUUUAAAGGUAAGUUCAUAUUUGAUAAAUUUAUAGGUUGAUAAGUGAUGCAUGCCUAAGUGGUGAAGUUUUAAAAAUAUUUUCCUUACCAACAUCGGAAAAAAAUAUUUUUCGAAACAUUUUCAGGUUUUAGCUGAACACUAGAAAAUAUUAUCAUUUUCCUGAAAAAUGACUUAUGGGAAAAUAUUUUCGAAAAUUGCCAAUUUCCGCAAAACGAACGCACCCGUAGUAUUAUGACAUUUGCUUUGCUUCGCUUUACCAUGAAAGUUGAGGUAUUUAUAAUAUAGUCUUUUCAACCAUGAAUAUAAUUUUCUUUUUUCGACCAAAAGAGAAGCAAUCGAAAUAAUAAAACUAUAUAUUUAUGUGUUUACUUUCCGUUAUAUACACUCUUCGGCCUUGGAUUUUUUACCGAAAAUUUCGGAUAAUCCCUCUCUCUUUCUAGAGUAAAACUAGAACCGUGCUUCAUCAUAGAUGGGCAAAAUCGCAAUUUACAAAAAGUACAAUGGAUGUCAAAUAGCUCACGAAAUCUCUCGCAUUUCAAAUUUAAAUUCGAGAUAAUUAUUGCAAUCAUCUCAUGAAUCCCUAAUAUCUUAAAAUUCAUACCAUAUUUCUCAAAAAGGUCAAAUCUUUACACACACAUAUAUAUUUGUUUUAUUGUUUAGUAAUUUAAAAAUUGCUCGGUUGCGUGUAGUAGAAAUUGAGACGUGUGCUCUGAACAGUGACAUCAUCCUGGGCCUGGCGUGUAUUUGCCGCGACCCGGUGCCCGUGUCCCCCUAGAACUCUUCGCCUCUACUCUCGCAAAUCGCCAACCCAUCUCCCCCCCCCCCCCCCCUCUCUCUCUCGCUCUCGUGGGUUCGAUUCCUCUCCGUUCCAAUGGGUAACCGCGCUUCCACGCGCAUGGAGGUGAUUCUCUUUCCCUGGCUCCUCUGAUUUGCGAUCGUACCCGGCUGCGAAUCAAGUCACUCAGGUCGUUGCUGGCCCUCACCUAGGCCAAAGUGAGGUCGAUCCUUGCCUGGGCGAGGGCAGCCUUGACAAGGGCUCUCCUUGCCAAAUCUAGCAAGGUCACCCUAGCCAGAGUGAAGGCCGGACUUGGCGGGUUUACUCUUGCCUAGGCAAUUGACCUCACCUAGGCUAGAUCGGGCGAGGCCAACCCUUAUUAGGCUUGACCUCGCCCUAGCUAGGUGAGGCUAGCCUACUUGGCCAUGGCCAACGGUUGGACAUCGCCUGCUGGCCGGCCACAAAGAGGCUUGUUAGCCCGAGCCUCGAGGGGCCACGGUGAGGCUUGGCCUCCCUAACCGGCAUGAGGUUGGGUCUCACUAAGGCUAGGCUAGCCUUCGACAAGCUCGUCGAUCGGCCACGACGGUGGCCGACAACUGGCCAAAGAGAAAAAAAAGAGAGGAAAAAAUAAUAAAAGAAUUAAAAUUAAAAGAAAUAAAAAAAUCUAAGAAUUUUACCAAACGUAUUUCUAUUUUGGGAAUAUAAAUUUUGGGAAGUUGCCAAACGCGUUUUUUUGCGCAGAAAUUAUUCCCGAGAACAAAAAUAGUAAGAAUCAUUUUUCAUAAAAAAUUGUUCCUAGAAAUAGCAUUAUUACCAAACGUGCCCUUAUAGGCCAUACUAAAGAAGAAAUAAGCAUCAAAAGGCCCGUGGCUUACAUGGCACAAUGGUGGGAUAUGGGCCUUGAUAUUCAUGAGCACAAGGUGCAAGGUCUGAAUCCGAGCCCAAGCCCAACUUCUAAAUCGAGAAAUCCUUCAAAAAUCGUGGAAGGAAUAAGGGCGCGUUUGAUAACGAUUAUGUUCCGAAAACUGAUUUUGACUAGAAAUGAUUAUUUUUUAUUCUGUUCCCGAGAACUGAUUUUGAGUAAAAAAACGCGUUUGGUAACUGUCCAAAAUUUUUGAUUCUGGAAUAGAAUUGCGUUUGAUACCGUGCUAAUUGAUUAUGUUCCAAAUUAAUUUCUUUUGAUUUUUAAAUAAUUUUUAAAUAAUUUUUUUACAUUUUUACAUUUUUCCUUUUUUUUUUUUCCUUUUUCCCCUUUUCUCCUAUUCUCCUUCUUCUUCAUGUGGCCGGUCGCUGGCCCUCGGCGAGGUCGGCCCUCGUCAGUUGAGCCUCGCCGAUGGUCAGGUCGGUCUCGCCGGGGCUAGGCGAGGUCGGCCUGGCCAUCGGCAGGGCUGGGCAAGCCUUGCUGGUGGCUGGGCUUGCCUUCGGCGAGCUCGCCGGACCUCGCCCUGGCCUGGCGAGCCUCCGGCGAGCGGCAGCGAAUGGCGGCGGGUGGUGGUGGACGGCAAUUGCGGGAUGACGGAAGGGAAGAAUGAGAGUUUCACUGUUUUGAUUCUUUUUUUGAUUCUUGGACGAAGAAUCAUAUUUUUUUUUUCUCAAUUUUCUUCCCAAUUUGUUCUAGGGAACAAAAAUUUUACCAAACGCGAUUCUCGUCCCAAACUGAUUUUGGGAACAAAAAAUCAGAAUCAAACACUGUUUGACACGUUGCCAAACAAGUCCUAAGCAAUCGAACUAGUAAAACCAUAUAUUUAUCUAUUCACUUUUCUAUAUAUACUCUUCGGCCUCAGAUUUUUUUAUGUGAAAAUUUUAUGAUAAUCGCUCAUCUCUUUUUGAGUGCAAAACUAUAACUGUAUGCAGCUAAUAUCAGAAUUUAUGAAGAUUGUAAAGAAUGCCGAGUAAAUCACAAAACUCUCGCAUUCCAAAUUUAAGUUCGAGAUGAUUAUGGCUCGAUUACAUUCCAACACUAUUUAUGUAUAUAUAUUUGUUUUGUUGUUUAGUAAUAUGAAAAUUGCUCGAUUGCGUGAAGUAGAAAUAGAGACAUAUGUCAUGAACAGUGACAUCAUUCUGGGCCUGGCGUGUAUCUGCCUCGACCCGGUGCCCUUGUCCCCAAGAACUCUUCGAUCUCUACUUUCGCCAAUCGCCAUCUCGCUCGCUCGCUCGCUCUCUCUCUCUCUCUCUCGUGGGUUCGAUUCCUCAUCGUUCCAACGGGUAACCGCGCUUCCUCGCGCAUGGAGGAGAUUCUCUUUCCCUGGCUCCUCUGAUUCGCGAUCAUACCCGGCUGCAAAUCGGGUCGCUAGGGUCGUUGCGCUCGAUGUUGCUGACGCCCCCGCUAGUUCGCGCGCUAGUAAUUUCCAUCGCGAGAAAAAUAGGAAAGAGUGGAUCAAGGGUGAAUCUGGUCGAGUUCUUCGUAUGCAAUGAGGUGGAUAAGUCUUAGCUUCGCCUUUUUGAAAUAAAGGGUCGGUUCCUGAUGAUUCCGUCCCGGUCAAGCAGCAUCGGCAGCUUAGUGGGUUUGUUAGUUUCAACUAGAUGGUGAGGGAUACAGUUAAAAAAUUUCAUCUUUGUGGGUUAUGGGAGGGAAAGAGACAAUUUUGAGCCUUUUCUGAAAAUGAGGAUGCACAGAGUAUCCGAUAUUGGAGCAGAUAAUGGAUCUUUCCGGCAUAAAUAGAGGAAAACUAGCAUGUGGCUUUGAAUAUUGGGUACAUCCAGAUUAUUUUCUGGUAGAAUUUCGUGGACGAAAUCGGGACUGUGUCUUUGAUGUGCUGAAUUUUGUUGGACGGAUUUCAUAAUGUAGCCUUGAUUUGUCACCUUAGCAAUCAAGCCAGUGUUGAGGUCACGCCCAUUUAUGUUGUAAGGUUGUGACUUGUGAUUGAUGGCAUCGGUUGUAGCUUUGCACAUGAAUAUAGUGAUACAGUAUAAGUUGUACUGUCCCUUUCACUAAAGCUUUCUUUGGCUACUCUAGUCAUCAUACUUCACUGUAGGACUAUGCAGGACAAGGUUCUCUGAUGUAGAGAACCUGCUAUAUUACAUCGGGUUGUUCUCCUUUAGACUGCACCUAUAUUUUUGAAGUUCUAUCUAGAGAAUUCUAGCAUGUUGGAACUUGUCCAGGAUAACUGACGGUCUGUAUUGUAGAUACACUUUGGUUUUUUACUGUCUCGCUCUUUAAAUCGUUUGAAUUUACAUUGGCUUGUGCUAUCUGUUUCUUUUACUUGUAUCGGACCAUUAUAAGGGAGGAACAAAUUCUGUUUUGUAGCAGUUUUCGAGUGGAAAUGGCAUAGAUAGGAACAAAGCAAUGGUGGAGCAGUUGCAGUGCUAUGGCAUUUUUAAUUCAAAGAAAGUUGCUGAAACAAUGGAGAAGUUGAUAGGGGUUUAUUCGUUCCAGCUGGGACUCCAGCUUAUGUUGAUAGCCCCAUGGCAAUUGGUUACGAUGUCACCAUUUCUGCACCUCAUAUGCAUGUGAUGUGCCUUCAGUUGUUGGAGAGAAAUUUGCAGCCCGGCAUGCAUGCUCUAGAUAUCGGCUCAGGUUGUCAUGUUAAUCCUUUUUCUAGGGAUCAUGUCUACAUUGAGAUGCACAUACAUUCUCCACAAUUUGCGCGUCCUCUUUCAUUUGUGGUCCUCUUCCUAUAAAUACUUAAAUCUAUCGGAAUUCAGAUAGAGAGGAAAAUAAUCAUGCCUGCUCACCUUAGUAAUGAUUCAGCUGACAAUUCCCCCAUUUGUGACUUGCUGGGAUUUUAUAAUAAGUGCCAUGAGAGCACAGAUUUUGCGGCUUCACCCGGUUUUCCCAUUCGGGUUUUGCAGAAACCCCGGUCCCAGCCCUUCGGCUGCUCUCGGUGGGGCGGAGCCUGCAGAGAGCGACAACGCUGGGCGCGUGUGGGCGGAUAGCAUGAAGAAGAAGAGGAAGAGGAAGAUGAACAAGCACAAGUAUAAGAAGCUCAGGAAGUGCCUCUGGCGAAAGGCCAAGUCGUAGUUUGGAAUUUGAAUUCGGUGAGAAUCCGAUGCGGCAGCGUUCGGUGCAUUUUUGGCUUUUUUUUCCUGUUGUUGUCCAUAAUUGUGACUGUUGUGGGUUCUCUGAAUGAAGUUCUUGGUCCGCAGUAAGAUGUUCUAUUGAAUCUAGUAUCGUAUUAUUAUUUACCUUUGCAAUACCGACGCGGAAUCCUGAGCUACUGAUAAGAAAACAAAGAAAGGCGAAAUUUAGGGUGGAAUGUCAAGUCUACUAGCCUUUCUGUGGAUUAGCAGACCCGCCUCUGUCCAAAUCACAGCUUCUGCCGGUGUAUACGCUGUUCCAUCUCCAUCCUAGAGACGAUAGAAGGGGCUUAUCUGAUAAGGAAUGCUUGGAUAAUCUCACUGUUGGGUGAGCACUAAGGUCGGUAAGCAGGGAGUGUGAUCCUUUUAGGUUAGCAAAUUGUUCCGACUCAUCUUGGCAGAGUGGCGUGAUUUCUGGGCCGACAGUUUAUUUCGAUUAUCUUAGACGUUAGAGGCGUAUUGAAUUUCUAGUGUUGUUCUGCAUUUGCUUUGCAAGGAAAGUGCAUGCGAAUAUCAUGGCAAGAAAGUGGAAGGUCUCUUUGCCUCUCUUUUCUUGUUUCAGAGUAAUACGAGUUAGCAGUCGCAUAAGAAGAUAAAGGGAAAUUGCAUUAACAUAGAAAUGAUACUAGACACGACUUAAGCUUCAUAGGACCGACACAUCUUAAGCUUCAUAGGACUAUCUUUCUGAAGGUACACACUGCCUUUCUAGUUUGGUCAUAUAUCCUUAUUGUGACACAUCUGGAAUCACAACAUCUACACGGAGGCUUAGUGCUUAAUCUGAGAUAACAUGCAUCGCGCGUCCUUACUGUUGGGCCUGUGCUUUGGCUCAUCCAGUGUACAGUAGUAGGCGACCUUUAAAACCAGCAGCAUUUGCUCCUCGAACCCAUUGCCAAUCAACUUUGGGUCAAUCGCUUGUUGAGGAUUGUCCCCAGUCAUCACAUUUCUCAACCACUUGACCAGACUUAUUUCUUGGGUGCGUUGGAAGAACUCAUCCGAUGGUAGUUUCCCGAUGACCAGGGCAGCAAGCAGAACACCGAAGCUGUAUAUAUCGCUCUUCUCCGUGAACUUGGAAGUCAGAUGGUACUCUGGAGCAAUAUAUCCCAAAGUCCCUACGACAUUGGAGCUUGUGACAUGAGUAUCGGUAUCUGGCAUAGCUUUUGCAAGCCCAAAGUCGGAUAUUCGGGCCUCCAUGUCAUCAUCUAGAAGGACAUUGGCAGGCUUGAGGUCUCGGUGGAUGAUCCUCGGAUUGUGGUUCAUAUGGAGAUAUUCGAGCCCGGCUGCCACUCCCAGCGCAAUUCGGUGCCUCGUGACCCAAUCCAACUCUGUCUGACCUUGUGAAACCUUCUCUAGUAAAUCCUGUAGGCUCCCAUUUUUCAUGAACUCGUACACUAGUAAGUGGCAGUCGGGACGAGUCAAGUGCGCCAGCAAGGGAAGUAAAUUGCGAUGUCGAAUCUGGCCAACAGUCUGUAUCUCGGACCGAAUUUGGCGCAUUUUCCUAUCCAAGUCUCUGGUGUCUUCUUCUGUUAGCUCUGUUGCAUCCCUGGGAGGUUGAAUUAUCUUCUUUAUAGCAAUCAUCUUUCCAUUGCUCGCGGGUAACUCGGCCUUGUAAACUUCCCCGCAGCCACCUCUGCCAAUGAUUGUCAGUGAUGACAGUCCCUCUUCGCUUUCCAAGAAAGCCAAAUCCUCAGCUUUCUUGAUCAUCGGGCUAAAGAUUGCUGGUGCGGAGUCUCUGCGUCCCCCUCGGAUUGCCGCCAAGGUCAGCCUAAAGAGCAGCGAGAAGACAAACCCCGAGACGAUUCCAGCAACUGCUCCAGCUAGGAACCCUAGUAGCCACCCACUUAGCUUCCUUCGGCUUUUUUUACUGUUGGAUGGUUCGUUUUCUGAUGGAGGAGGAGCUGGAGUACUUGAAGCGUGUGAUGGUGUUGGUGCAACCUCCGGACUGUUGGGUUUCGGUCCGGGUCUCGUGCUAGGACCCUCUUCAAAAAUGUAACGUCUCGGUAGAGUGUCACCGGAUGGUUCAGCUCUGUUCAGCGAUGGCACUGGACCUUCAAGAAACAAGUUCCCCGAAACAUCAAAGAAGCGGAGAUUCCGGAAUGAGCGUAUGGAAGCUGGAAUUUUCCCAGUGAAGAGAUUAUCAGAGAGAGUGAGUUUUUCCAGGUUGGGGAAAUACUUAAGGAAACUCAAAUCCCCAGUGAAUUUAUUUGAGCCAACAUCGAGCACUCGGAGAUGAUUGAGAGAUGACAAUUCAGAUGGAAUUUUUCCUGAAAACCUGUUGUUUCUGAGGUUCAGAAUUUCCAGUUUGGUACAGUCAACAAUCUGGGAAGGUAGUUGGUCAACAAGCUUGUUGUUGGACAGGGUGAGCUCUUUGAGUUCGGAAAGCCGUCCGACUGCCGGGGAGAGCGACCCCUUGAGCUGUUGCGACUUGAAGACGAGUCUUGUGAUUCUCAGGACAUAGGUAUUGUUGCUUGUGAGCC
This 14571-nucleotide long non-coding RNA is filed under the name Eucalyptus grandis. RNAcentral describes it as "long non-coding RNA (EGRA_LNC006554)". The record is from RNAcentral. Lineage: Eukaryota; Viridiplantae; Streptophyta; Magnoliopsida; Myrtales; Myrtaceae.